Molecule: long non-coding RNA, 280 nt
Organism: Solanum verrucosum
Lineage: Eukaryota; Viridiplantae; Streptophyta; Magnoliopsida; Solanales; Solanaceae
Exons: 3
Source: RefSeq, a predicted model, not a curated record
UUGAAGUAAAGCACGCCGGCGACAACUUGGAUUAGAAGGAAACGGAGUAGUAAACUGAUACGAGCAUGAAAACUGACCUGAGAACUUGACCAAGAUAGGUCCAGGACAUCAUCUUGAUGACCACUGAAAGUGCAUACUGGUUUGUCUGAGAGAGCAAAUACAAUUUCAGUUGCUAGAUACCGACCAUCAGCGGUGAAUCUUAUGGUCCAUAUGGAGCCUUCAUGAGCUUGAAUUUCCUGACACAAUUGCAAAGCUGUGAAUUCUUUGUGAAUCUUUCCUU